CUGCUCAGUAACACGUGGAUAACCUACCCUCAGAUCUGGGAUAACUCCGGGAAACUGGAGAUAAUACCGGAUAAUCCGUGAACGCUGGAAUGCCUUACGGUUGAAAGCUUUAGCGUCUGAGGAUGGGUCUGCGGCCGAUUAGGUAGUUGCUGGGGUAACGUCCCAACAAGCCGAUAAUCGGUACGGGUUGUGAGAGCAAGAGCCCGGAGAUGGAUUCUGAGACACGAAUCCAGGUCCUACGGGGCGCAGCAGGCGCGAAAACUUUACACUGCGCGAAAGCGCGAUAAGGGGACCUCGAGUGCGUGCGCAAAGCGUACGCUUUUCAGAUGCCUAAAAAGCAUCUGGAAUAAGGGCCGGGCAAGACCGGUGCCAGCCGCCGCGGUAACACCGGCGGCUCAAGUGGUGGCCGCUAUUAUUGGGCUUAAAGGGUCCGUAGCCGGACCAGUUAGUCCCUUGGGAAAUCUUACGGCUUAACCGUAAGGCUGCCAAUGGAUACUGCUGGUCUUGGGACCGGGAGAGGCAAGAGGUACCUCAGGGGUAGGAGUGAAA
This 549-nucleotide ribosomal RNA is filed under the name uncultured euryarchaeote. RNAcentral describes it as "bacterial SSU rRNA". It matches the Rfam family "Archaeal small subunit ribosomal RNA", at positions 86 to 637 of the family's 1478-position model. The record is from RNAcentral. Lineage: Archaea; Methanobacteriati; Methanobacteriota.